Manihot esculenta (cassava) is the source of this 463-nucleotide long non-coding RNA. RefSeq lists it as uncharacterized. NCBI's taxonomy places the organism in Eukaryota, Viridiplantae, Streptophyta, Magnoliopsida, Malpighiales, Euphorbiaceae. The transcript is spliced from 3 exons. The record is from RefSeq and is a predicted model, not a curated record.
CUUACGUGUUGCUUAAACAAGUUGCCACAGUUUCCUCUUGAAACUGCAGCUGCAAAUUGAGAAGCCAGCACAAACUGAACAACUGGCAGCCAUUUCCAUCACCAAAUAAGCCAUGUUUGUUCUUUCAAACACCUCUCCCUCUCCCUCGCCCUUUAUCUCUCUUCAUCGGACCUACGCGGAAAGUCUUUCGAGUCUGCUUCCCAAAGGGCCGAAAUGCAGCGGAGGAUAGAGACAGAGCAUCGUAUUUCAUAGCCAAAGAAACUAAACAAGGAGAGUGUUCAGAGAGAGCCGAGGAAUGCGCAGAGAAGACAUGAAGUGAAAAAGAAGAACAAAGCUUAUGCGAGGACUGUGGCUGAUAAGGCAAGAGAUGGGACAACUGAGGUGAUGGAAACAGUGGGGAGCGUAGGAGCGAAGGCGAAGCACAAGGAAGAAGAUGAUGAAGGAGAAGAAGAAGAAGAAAAAG